AUCGGCCACGUGUAUUCUUGGGGAAUUAACACACAUUGUGAGAUGUUAUUGCUUGAGAAUACACGUAGCUGAC
Molecule: microRNA precursor, 73 nt
Organism: Operophtera brumata (winter moth)
Lineage: Eukaryota; Metazoa; Arthropoda; Insecta; Lepidoptera; Geometridae
Rfam family: mir-137 microRNA precursor family
Source: Rfam